RNAcentral lists this ribosomal RNA (253 nucleotides) under uncultured bacterium. RNAcentral describes it as "partial 16S ribosomal RNA". It matches the Rfam family "Bacterial small subunit ribosomal RNA", at positions 524 to 776 of the family's 1533-position model. The record is from RNAcentral.
UACGUAGGUGACAAGCGUUGUCCGGAUUUACUGGGCGUAAAGAGCGCGCAGGCGGUCGUUCAAGUCGAGUGUGAAAGCCCCCGGCUCAACUGGGGAGGGUCACUCGAUACUGAUCGACUCGAAGGCAGGAGAGGGAAGUGGAAUUCCCGGUGUAGUGGUGAAAUGCGUAGAUAUUGGGAAGAACACCGAUGGCGAAGGCAGCCAUCUGGACCGACACUGACGCUGAGGCGCGAAAGCGUGGGGAGCAAACAGG